This 254-nucleotide ribosomal RNA is filed under the name uncultured bacterium. RNAcentral describes it as "partial 16S ribosomal RNA". It matches the Rfam family "Bacterial small subunit ribosomal RNA", at positions 524 to 776 of the family's 1533-position model. The record is from RNAcentral.
UACGUAGGGUGCGAGCGUUGUCCGGAAUUAUUGGGCGUAAAGGGCUCGUAGGCGGUUUGUCGCGUCGGGAGUGAAAUCCACUGGCUUAACUGGUGGCUUGCUUUCGAUACGGGCAGACUGGAGGUAUGCAGGGGAGAACGGAAUUCCUGGUGUAGGCGGUGAAAUGCGCAGAUAUCAGGAGGAACACCGGUGGCGAAGGCGGUUCUCUGGGCAUGUCCUGACGCUGAGGAGCGAAAGCGUGGGGAGCGAACAGG